UAGGUCCAACCUCAAAGUUCAAAUUUGAGUC
RNAcentral lists this non-coding RNA (31 nucleotides) under Homo sapiens (human). The record is from RNAcentral. Lineage: Eukaryota; Metazoa; Chordata; Mammalia; Primates; Hominidae.